RNAcentral lists this ribosomal RNA (253 nucleotides) under uncultured bacterium. RNAcentral's name for it is "partial 16S ribosomal RNA". It matches the Rfam family "Bacterial small subunit ribosomal RNA", at positions 524 to 776 of the family's 1533-position model. The record is from RNAcentral.
UACGGGGGGGGCAAGCGUUGUUCGGAAUUACUGGGCGUAAAGGGCUUGUAGGUGGCCAACUAAGUCAGACGUGAAAUCCCUCGGCUUAACCGGGGAACUGCGUCUGAUACUGGAUGGCUUGAGUGUGGGAGAGGGAUGCGGAAUUCCAGGUGGAGCGGUGAAAUGCGCAGAUAUCAGGAGGAACACCCGUAGCGAAGGCGGCACUCUGGGCCGAUACUGACACUGAGGAGCGAAAGCGUGGGGAGCGAACAGG